GACAGAGGGGGCAAGCGUUGCUCGGAAUUACUGGGCGUAAAGGGCGCGUAGGCGGGAUGGCAAGUCGGUCGUGAAAGCCUUCGGCUCAACCGAAGAAUGUCGGCCGAUACUGCCGUUCUUGAGGGAUGCAGAGGAGACUGGAAUUCCCGGUGUAGCGGUGAAAUGUGUAGAGAUCGGGAGGAACACCGGUGGCGAAGGCGGGUCUCUGGGCAUCUCCUGACGCUGAGGCGCGAAAGCCAGGGGAGCAAACGGG
Molecule: ribosomal RNA, 253 nt
Filed under: uncultured bacterium
Lineage: Bacteria
Description: partial 16S ribosomal RNA
Rfam family: Bacterial small subunit ribosomal RNA
Source: RNAcentral